AGGAUAAACGCUGGCGGCGUGCCUAACACAUGCAAGUCGAACGACCUUGUUGUCGCAAGAGAACGAGGGAGUGGCGGACGGGUGAGUAACACGUGGGUGACCUACCCUUUGGUGAGGAAUACCGGCGAGAAAUCGCCGACAAGACCGCAUAGGCUCUCUCACGAGAGCAAAGCUUCGCGCAAGCGAGGCGCCAGAGGAUGGGCCUGCGUCCGAUUAGCUUGUUGGUGGGGUAAUGGCCUACCAAGGCGACGAUCGGUAGCUAGUCUGAGAGGACGAACAGCCACACUGGGAUUGAGAACGGCCCAGACUCUUACGGGAGGCAGCAGUGAGGAAUUUUCGGCAAUGGGCGCAAGCCUGACCGAGCAACGCCGCGUGCAGGAGGAAGCUCUUCGGAGUGUAAACUGCUUUUAUCGGGGAAGAGAACAGACGGUACCCGAUGAAGAAGUCCCGGCUAACUACGUGCCAGCAGCCGC
RNAcentral lists this ribosomal RNA (473 nucleotides) under uncultured bacterium. RNAcentral's name for it is "SSU rRNA". It matches the Rfam family "Bacterial small subunit ribosomal RNA", at positions 26 to 518 of the family's 1533-position model. The record is from RNAcentral.